GAUGAACGCUGGCGGUGUGCCUAAUACAUGCAAGUCGUACGCAUUCUCGUUUCUGAUUGACGGUGCUUGCACCUAAUUGACGAGACAUUGGAAUGAGUGGCGGACGGGUGAGUAACACGUGGGUAACCUGCCCAGAAGCGGGGGAUAACAUUGGAAACAGGUGCUAAUACCGCAUAAAAGUCAAAACCACAUGGUUUUGAUUUAAAAGAUGGCCUUUGUGCUAUCACUUCUGGAUGGACCCGCGGCGUACUAGCUAGUUGGUAAGGUAACGGCUAACCAAGGCAAUGAUAGGUAGCCGAACUGAGAGGUGGGUCGGCCACAAUGGGACUGAGACACGGCCCAUACGCCUACGGGAGGCAGCAGUAGGGAAUCUUCCACAAUGGGCGCAAGCCUGAUGGAGCAACACCGCGUGAGUGAAGAAGGGUUUCGGCUCGUAAAACUCUGUUGUUAAAGAAGAACGUAUCUAAGAGUAACUGCUUAGGUAGUGACGGUAUUUAACCAGAAAGCCACGGCUAACUACGUGCCAGCCGCCGCGGUAA
Molecule: ribosomal RNA, 539 nt
Filed under: uncultured bacterium
Lineage: Bacteria
Description: partial 16S ribosomal RNA
Rfam family: Bacterial small subunit ribosomal RNA
Source: RNAcentral